UACGAAGGGAGCUAGCGUUGCUCGGAAUUACUGGGCGUAAAGCGCACGUAGGCGGCUUUCUAAGUCGGGGGUGAAAUCCUGGAGCUCAACUCCAGAACUGCCUUCGAUACUGGAGAGCUCGAGUCCGGGAGAGGUGAGUGGAACUGCGAGUGUAGAGGUGAAAUUCGUAGAUAUUCGCAAGAACACCAGUGGCGAAGGCGGCUCACUGGCCCGGUACUGACGCUGAGGUGCGAAAGCGUGGGAGCAA
This 247-nucleotide ribosomal RNA is filed under the name uncultured bacterium. RNAcentral describes it as "partial 16S ribosomal RNA". It matches the Rfam family "Bacterial small subunit ribosomal RNA", at positions 524 to 771 of the family's 1533-position model. The record is from RNAcentral.